RNAcentral lists this ribosomal RNA (453 nucleotides) under uncultured bacterium. Its description in RNAcentral is "SSU rRNA". It matches the Rfam family "Bacterial small subunit ribosomal RNA", at positions 26 to 518 of the family's 1533-position model. The record is from RNAcentral.
AGGAUGAACGCUGGCGGUAUGCUUUACACAUGCAAGUCGAACGCAAGUUUUUAACUUGAGUGGCGGACGGGUGAGUAACACGUGAGAAUUCACCUUUAGGUGGGGAAUAACUUUUGGAAACGAUAGCUAAUGCCCCAUAGACUCGAAAGAGAAAAAAGAGCAAUCUGCCUAAAGAGAAGCUCGCGGCUGAUUAGCUAGUUGGUAAGGUAAUGGCUUACCAAGGCGACGAUCAGUAGCUGGUUUGAGAGAACGAUCAGCCACACUGGAACUGAGACACGGUCCAGACUCCUACGGGAGGCAGCAGUGGGGAAUUUUCCGCAAUGGGCGAAAGCCUGACGGAGCAAUACCGCGUGAGGGAUGACGGCCUUUGGGUUGUAAACCUCUUUUAUCAAGGAGGAAGUUCUGACGUGUACUUGAUGAAUAAGCAUCGGCUAACUCCGUGCCAGCAGCCGC